AUUAGUUUGGUUAAUGUGGAGGUAGGUUACGAUUAGAUUUAUCCUUGAUUAAAGAGAUUCAGUCUAGCACUGUAUAGGUAGCAUUUAUAGUUAAAUGCUAAACUGUAAAUGCUAUGGUGUGCUUGGUGAUUGGCUUUCAUAUUAAUUUCUGCUCGGCAUUAGUUUGGAAUUUUUUUAUUUAACUAGUAAUUGAAGCUGUAUUUACGCUGUCGCUUCUACAGCUGUGAGCCUUCUGAAGCCAUGAUAAGAUUGUCGAUAUGAAAAGGCGCCUAUACCCAGGAUUUUCUAGGUGGAGUUUACAAAAGUUAGUAUCAUCAAAAAAUUAAUGUCAAUGACUUGACUUGUUUUGGUUACCUUUCACAUACUCAUCCUAAUUCAAGUCUCUUGCUAUCGCAUAGCAUCAAUGAUUUAACAAUCUUCGUAAGGUAAGCUACAGUUCUGAAAAGGGAUCAGCAUUCGCGCUAAAGUAAAGUAUAUAUAUUCAUUUUCUGUGCAUCUUUUCACAUUAGUAUCACUUUUAAACUGUUCCAGUUUUUGGCUUGGUAGUCAGCACAGAGAAAUUGCAGUAGUACUGUAGUGUACUGUGGCCUUUAAUUGAGUGUGGCAAAGGGUAUUGUUGUAGUCUGCUUGUAGAACUACUUGCCAUAAUGUAUUCUUUGUACAAGACAGGGUCAUUGUUAUUGCUAUUGUUAACAUAAUAGCAAAACAUCACUAUUGCAUGUUCUAUGACUAUAAAGCCAGUCAGCUGUAUACCUGGAGUGCUCCCCAAAUUUUUCAAUUUAUUGGGUUGAAUCGCUAUUGUUCUAUGACUGUAAAGUCAGUCAGCUGCCUAUACCUGGCGUGCUCCCCAAUAUUUUCAAUUUAUUGGGUCGAGUCGCUGUUGUAUGUUCUAUGACUGUAAAGUCGGUCAGCUGGCUAUAGCUGGCGUGCUCCCCGAUUUUUUGAAAUUCAUUGAGUUGAGUCGCUACCAUUCUAUGACUGUAAAAUGCAGGCAAUAAAGUGUCCAGUCAGUCACUGUUUUGGUAACUGAACAGAAAACGCAAGUGCUAACGGAGUCAUGCAGUCAUUUGGAGCUUGAAACGGGUGUGUAGAUAGGCAUCAUGAGUAAACAGACAGAAAGAUGCAACAACAGGUGAUAUAUGGUAGGUAGACUAAACCGAUUACACGGUAGCAGGACAGAUCAAAGUAAAGCCUGCAGGAUGCAACAGUUGGUGAUACAUCAAUCCCUCCUGAUCUCAUAUUGGCCUAGCCAGAAGACAUCUUGCCAAUAACCUAACAUUCUAAUACUCACCAGCUAGCAAUUCCGCAUGAAGAUCAGGGUUAAGAGCAUUCUCAACCGAAUUUUAUGGGCCAGUAGAUGCUCUGACCUCCACUUGGUCUGGCCUGGGUAACCCUAGCAAAAGCAUAAGUUUAGUCAACAUGCAAAUUUGGAACGUGUGUUAAGUAACUUUAGAUUAUUAUGGAUAAAUGAUGCAUGUAGAGGCACACAUGAUUACGAGGAUGAGGGAUACCAGAGAUGAUGAGGGUGAGAGAUGUUGAUCGAGCAGGUGUAGAGGGUGCUGUUGUAGACCUCUGUUGCGGCGACAUCUAAGAAGAAAAGGAGGAAGACAGCGUAGACAAAUAGCUGGGUCUUACUUGACUGAACGGGCUAAUCAAGAACAGUGAUAUGUGUCACCACAGCCAGCUGCAGUUGCAGAGCUGCCACCACAGCAGCUCAACGAACUUUGUGGUGUUCAGUGAAACUUUUGACUAAAUAUUUAAUUAAUGGGUUGCUAGUUAAUUAACCUGAUGUUAAAGUGUAGAAAAUUAAUUAUGGGGUUGAGUGGUAGCUAAUUAACAUGAUGUUAGAGUGUAGUAAAUGGAAUA
This is a long non-coding RNA of Corticium candelabrum, 1866 nucleotides long. RefSeq lists it as uncharacterized. NCBI's taxonomy places the organism in Eukaryota, Metazoa, Porifera, Homoscleromorpha, Homosclerophorida, Plakinidae. The record is from RefSeq and is a predicted model, not a curated record. The transcript has 4 exons.